This 5703-nucleotide long non-coding RNA is filed under the name Homo sapiens (human). RNAcentral describes it as "HSALNT0245690". Lineage: Eukaryota; Metazoa; Chordata; Mammalia; Primates; Hominidae. The record is from RNAcentral.
GGAAUGAACAGGAGCUGGCCGUGCCUGCCACCAUCUAUGCCCACGAAUGAUGUCUCUGGCCACUCAUCACCAUGCUGUGUCCUACUGCAGCUGAGCCCAUGGCAGCUAUAGCUUGGAGACCCAUCUGCCCUUCUGCAAAAUGGCCCCAGUGUUUGGUUUCUCGAGUGUCUUUCAUAUUUUUUCUGCUCCCUGCUUCCUCUUGUCUGUCCCCAGUUCUUCUUCUUUUUUGGACAGGGUCUCACUCUGUCACCUAGGCUGGAGCGCAGUAGUGCGAUCAUAGCCCACUACAGCCUUAAAUUCCUGAGCUCAAGUGGUCCUCCCACCUCAGUGUCUUAAGUAGCCGCGACUACAGGCACACGCCACCAUGCUUGGCUAACUUAUUUAUUUUUGUAGAGAUGCGGUCUUACUUUGUUGCCCAGGCUGGUUUUGACCUCCUAGGCUCAAGCAAUCCUCCUGCCUCGGCCUCCCAAAAUGCCUGAAUUACAGGUGUGUGCCACCACACCUGGCCUGCUCUCAAGUCUUCCUGCUACUGAUAUGUCUGCAACACUCUGUCUUUUCUACCUGCUGCCUCUCCCCCUGUAAUUUGCUGUUUAUAAUGCACUGUGGGUUGUAAAACCAAAUUAUUUGUACUCAAACUGUUUAAGUAAGUAGAUAAAAUGAGUAGACUGUGGGUGAGACCCAAGUUUCUGGCUGAUAAGGAUAUGACUAUAUGAUACCAAUUUUGGCUAAUCAGGGACCUUUUUCUUUUCUUCCUGUUUCUUGGCAGUGUGCUGCUGGAGACGUGAACGUGAUAGUCAGUGAGGAAAUUUAAAAGAAUCAUGUUCGAUGAGUCCAUAGAAAAAAUAAGAGCUGACAAGUCAUGCCUUCAAUGCACUAAGCAUUUAUUAUUAAAUAACUGGUGUGUGCCUAGAACUCUAGCUGGUAUGGAGGGGAUUUUCAAAGGAGCACUACGGGGUCCCUUCUGUGUGGUAAAGGAUUAACCUCCCCCAAAGAAAGGUUUGGCUCUUUGUUUCUGGCUCUUGAGAGGGAAAAGCUAAGCCCUUGGAAUGUCCUUGGUAUGAGUGUCUUUGUUUCCCUGGGGUCUUGGGGCAGCCAGUUAGUUUACACUUCAAUGUAGGGGCCUUGGGCCACAUGGUAUCGGCACAUGGAUGGUCAGUCGUGUCUACCUGACCGAGGCCAAGUAAAACUCGGGACACCAAGGUUUGGGUGAACUUCCCUGUUGGCAGUACCCCGUGUGUGUUGUCACGCAUCCUUGCUGGAGAAGCAAGUACCGUCCACACAAUUCCAUUGGGAGAGGACAAUCGAAGCCCAUGCCUGUCUCUCCAGGACAACUCUGCCCCAUGUAUCUCUCCCACUGGCUGAUUUUAAUCCAUAUUCUCUCACUGUCAUAAACUGUACCGAUGGCAGUAGAAUGCCUGUUUCGAGUCCUGUGAGUCCUUCUAGCAAAUUUUUGAACCUGAGGAUGGUCUUAGGGACCUCCUGAACUCACACCACCCCUGUGAAAGAUGCAACCCAGGGCAGGGCUAUUCCCCUCUGCAGACCUUGGGUCCCUUCCUCAUUGGUGAUGUGAGGGGUUGCUUCAGGAGAUGCCUCAGGUUCUUCCAGCACAAAUGCUAUGUGGUUCUGACAGAACCUGCAUCGGUUAGAGCAGGGUUCCCCAACCCCGGGCCAUGGACCUGCGCUGCUUCGUGCCCUGUUAGGAGCCACCUGAGCAUUAGAUUCUCACAGGAGCAUGAAUCCCAUUGUGAACUGUGCAUGUGUGGGAUCCAGGCUGUGUCAUCCUCAUGAGAAUCUAAAUGCCUGAUGAUCUGAGGUGGAACAGUUUCAUCCCAAAACUAUCCUGCACUCCUCCACCCUGUCCUGUCUGUGGAAAAACUGUCUUCCAAAAAACCAGUCCCCGAUGCCAAAAAGGUUGGGGACUGCUGCUUUAGAGGGAGCCAGGCUAGUUACCAGUAGAAACCACCACUGUCCCAUCUCUACAACCGCCAUCAGGGAUGGAGGGAGACUGGGAGACUCCGUUCCUCUGAUAGUAAGCCUCCCCUCCCAGAGCGAGGGGUGGGCCCAGGGCAGGGUCUCAGGGCUGGAGAUGUGGGCCCUGCACAAGGCGUGAGCCUGGAUGAGAAGCCAAGAACAUCAGGCCCUCAGAAGCCAGGUGAGAAAGAACAAGGUCUGUGGUGGACAGCCGGCUGCAAAGAGAAGGCAGACGUGGCUGACAGGCAGAGGAGGGAGGCUUGGAAAGACCUGGAGAGAUGGCAUUUCACAGGUGAAAGCCAGCUUCCUGUUAUCUAAAUAGCACACAGUCACGGACUUAAGAGGAUCAGGAAGCAAUGGAAGUCAUUGAAUACACUCACCAGAGCCCAAUUCGGUCUUGGACAAUUUGCACAGCCUUUCAAAGUUAGGCUGGGCUCGAUGAAUAUUGAAUAGUCCUGCCCAAAUCCUGCUUACUCGGCCCCUGGCUAUCUUGAGUCUUGAGACCAGACACUUUCACUCUUGAGGAUGGAGCUGCCUCCGUGGCAUUUGAUUUUCAAGGUACUUUGCCUGCAGUUUGGGUGAGUGCUCACCUGGGGGCGCUGUGCUUUGGUGUCCCCUGCUGUUUGAGCAUCGUCAGUUUCAGAGGCGGGGAGCCCACUGCCGUUCAAUUAUGAUUUCCCAUGGAAAUGAAUCUUUCUUGAACUAGAGCUCUUUAUUAAUGAGGAAGCCUGGAGUACCAUAGAAUAUUACAUUUUCAAGAUUGGAAGCAUAUUUUAGGUACAAUUUGGUACAUGAAAUCAAAUUUUAGAGACUGAGGCUGCAUGGGAAGUGAUCUUGCCUGGUCUCUUCGUUUAACAGAUGAAGAAAAGAGGCCCAGAGAGGUGACGUGGCUCUUUCAAGGCCAGUUAGGCUGGGACAGGCUUUAGUGUUAUCUUCCAUUGGCAGAAGCAGAAGAAGACAGUUAUUUAAAAAAUCAAAUAUGAGAGUGCUACCUACCGUCAGCAGAGUUUUUGAUGUGUGUAGGGCACUAGAGUUUUUAUAAUGAUUAGUUCAUUUAAUCCUUAUAACAACGUUAUGAAGGCAUUCUGCUUCUAUCCCAACUGGGUGAACUCCAUUCAAUUCGGACACUAACCACUCCAAGUUAGUGUCACACCGCAGAAGUCAAGGGCUCAGGCCUUCGCAAGACUGCCCUGCCUCAGACACCAGCCGGGGUCCCCAGGACACCUGCACUUCUGACCAGCUGGGUACACAUUCAAGGGUUGUCAUGAUACUCUCAGGUUCAACAAUUCACUAGAAUGACUAACAGAACGUGGGUGUGUGCUACACCCACGAUUACAGCAUUAUUAUAAAGGAUACACAUAGAACAAGGUCUGGGAGCAUCCUGGACUUGCAGCUUUCAUGCCUUCUCCUGUGGAAUCAGGAUGCAUCACUUUCCCAGCAAAUCCAUGUGUUCAACCAGGAGGCCCCACUGAGCUUUGAAACUCACCGCAAAGCUACAGUAAUCCAAAGAGUAUGGCGCCGGCAUAAAGGCAGGCAUAUAGACCAAAAGAGUAGAAUAGAGACCCCAGAAAUAAACCCUCGCAUAUAUGGUCCAAUGAUUCUUGACAAGGGUGCCAAGACCAUUCAAUGAGGAAAAGAAGGUCUUUUCAACAAACAGUGCUGGGAAAACUGAAUAUCCACCUACAUAAGAAUGAAUUUGGACCCUGACCUAACACCAUAUGCCAAAAUUAAUUCAAAAUGGAUUACAGACCUACAUGUAGGAGCUAAAACCAUAAAACUCUUAGAAGAAAACAAGGAUACAGCUUCAUGACAUUGGAUUUGGUGACGAUUUCUUAGAUAUAACGUCAAAGGCACAAGCAACAAAGGAAAAAAAUAGACAAAUUGGACUUCAUAAAAAUUAAAACCUUUUGUGAGUCAAAAGACACUAUCAACAGAGUAAAAAGGCAACCCACAGAAUGGGAGAAAAUAUUUGCAAAUCAUGUAUCUGGUAAGGAAUUGAUAUCCUCAAGAGAUUUCAGUGUCCAGAGUUUUGUCGUUGUUGUUGUUCCUUUUUGAUAUAGAGUCUCGCUCUGUUGCCCAGGUUAGAGUGCAGUGGUGUGAUCAUGGCUCACUGCAGCCUCGAUCUCCUGGACUCAAGUGAUCCUCCUGCUUCAGCCUCUUGAGUAGCUGGGACUACAGGCGGGCACCACCAUACCUGGUUGAUUUAAAAUUAUUAUUUUUUUAAUUUUAGUAGAGAGGAGGUCUCACUAUGAUAUCCAGAGUGGUCUUGAACUCCUGGGCUCAAGUGAUCCUCCCACCUCAUCUUCUCAUAGCAUUGGGAUUACAGGCAUGAGCCACUGCACCAGACCCAAAGUUUUCACUGGGAUUUCAUUACGUAGCCAUGACUGAUUAAAUCAUUGUCCUCAUGACUGAACUCAAUCUUCAGCCCCUCUCCCCUCUCCGGACUUUGGGUGGACCAAAAGUUCCAGCCCUCUUAUCACGUGGUUGGUCUUUGGUGGUCAGCCUCCAUCCUGAAGUCCUCUUGGCAUGUGCCAGGAGUCACACCAUCAACACAAUCAAGACACUCCUAUCAUUCAGGAAAUUCCAACGGUUUUCUGUGCCAGGAACCAGGGACAAAGACAUACUCUUUAUUAUACCACAGAGGUGUUGUCAUUGUCCUUUUGCCAAGCUUAGGCUGGGGCUGAGAGAGAGAGAGGAAGUAACUGGCUCCAAAUCCUGCAGCUGGCCUCUGACAGACAAGGGCAGCUCUCAGACCUGACAGCCUCAAACUCUCUGGGCUUAACCCCUAAACUGAGCCACUGCCACCAUGUGAAGGGUGGGUGGAGGAAGAGCGCUGAGCAAACUUUCCCUGGGACCAGUGCAGACCAAGUGAGGAGAGGGGGAAUUCCAUUUCAGAAACGGAGGAACUGUAUAAUGCCAUGAGAAUUGCUUCUGGCUCGCAGGGAGUGAAAACCAGUGCUUGGGCUUCUGGGAAAGGACACAGAGCCUCUCUCCAUGGAGAACUGAUGACGUGCACAAGCCAUCAUCUGUCCUGAGAAGUUAAAUCCAGGGCUGGGGAAGCAAUUCCCAGUCCCAGCCCUUCCCUGCCUGCCCCACACCAGUGCUGGCUUGGGCAAGCUCCUAAGCCAUACCAAGGCUCAGACCAAGAAAAGAAUCGAUUAUCAGCCAACGAGGAAAGCACGCUACCACUCUUCUCUCCAUCGAACCACUUAAUCAAGGCUAAAAAGUUUGAUUUUCUUCUUUAUUGUCUACUGAUUUUUUUUAACAAAGUUUUACAGCAGGCUGGCUCAAAACAUGAAGCUUUGGGAAAGAUUUGCUUUUCAAUGCUGUGGGUUCUCACUGAUAGUUAUGUGUCUGGGGCCAGGGAUCCUUCUCUAGGGUUCUUUUCACCCUAUAAUUCUGGAAAGAGAGAGUGAAAUCAACUUGGGGUCGGUGUACCCUCAGAUCCUGGAAUCACACCCCUCAAUACCAUAUUUUACCUGCAUCAUGUGUGCCUGGGUCCAUUCCCCUAGGGAGGUCAAGAGCCCUGUUGUCCAAUAGAGAGAGAAUGUGAGCCACUGAGGUGAUUUUAACUGAGGACAUUUUUCUAGCAGACACAAUAAAAAGAAACAAGCAAACUUAAAUUUGAUAAUAUAUUUUAUUUAGCCCAAUAUAUCCAACAUAUUAUCAUUUCAACAUGUAAUUAAUAUACAAAUCAUGAAUGAGAUUUUUUCAAUCUUUUAUUCAUUCUGA